UUGGCCUCAGAUGACUUUUAAAAUGUUUAUGUCAUUGAAAAAGUCCCAAAUUAUCUCCCUUUGGUACCAAAAUGCCAUUUUUUUUGGCAUUAAAAUUGAAAUACUUUUUUUCAUCGUUGAUCUAUAUUUUUUUUUUAUUUCGAUAUUACCUCUAUUUCUCCUAUUACUUCAAGAGAAAAAAAAGGACAUUAACAAAAAUGUAUGCUUCUUUCGGAGGCAGAUUGUGAGCGUAAAUGAACGGUGACCCCAUUUUUUAAUUUCAUUUUUCUAUUAAGUAACUAUAUGCUGUAGUUCAUUUAUGAAAAAAUAUAGCGAAAUCCUAUAUAAGAAAAAAAAAUUGAUCUAUACCCGGAGGCCCCCUUAAGGAGACUCGAGGGUACAAAAAAAUCAGCACAAAUUGAAACAUUUAUUUUUUCAUUACACAUUUU
Molecule: long non-coding RNA, 428 nt
Filed under: Mytilus galloprovincialis (Mediterranean mussel)
Lineage: Eukaryota; Metazoa; Mollusca; Bivalvia; Mytilida; Mytilidae
Source: RNAcentral